Molecule: unclassified non-coding RNA, 387 nt
Filed under: soil metagenome
Description: partial contains 5.8S ribosomal RNA, internal transcribed spacer 2, and large subunit ribosomal RNA
Rfam family: 5.8S ribosomal RNA (bases 1-120)
Source: RNAcentral
GAUGAAGAACGCAGUGAAAUGCGAUAAGUAAUGUGAAUUGCAGAAUUCAGUGAAUCAUCGAAUCUUUGAACGCACCUUGCGCUCCUUGGUAUUCCGAGGAGCAUGCCUGUUUGAGUGUCAUGAAAUUCUCAACCUUUUCAGCUUUCUUUGUUGAUCAGGCUUGGAUGUGGGAGUAUGCGGGCUUCUCAGAAGUCGGCUCUCCUGAAAUGCAUUAGCGGGACCUUUGUUGCCUGGCUUUGGUGUGAUAAUUAUCUACGCCAUUGUAGUCAAGCAGCUUAAAAUGAGGUUUCAGCUUCUAACCGUCUCCCCUGAGACAACUUUUUGACAAUUUGACCUCAAAUCAGGUAGGACUACCCGCUGAACUUAAGCAUAUCAAUAAGCGGAGGA